Molecule: ribosomal RNA, 501 nt
Filed under: uncultured soil bacterium
Lineage: Bacteria
Description: bacterial SSU rRNA
Rfam family: Bacterial small subunit ribosomal RNA
Source: RNAcentral
AGAUUGAACGCUGGCGGCAGGCCUAACACAUGCAAGUCGAGCGGUAGAGAGGUGCUUGCAUCUCUUGAGAGCGGCGGACGGGUGAGUAAUGCCUAGGAAUCUGCCUAGUGGUGGGGGAUAACGUUCGGAAACGGACGCUAAUACCGCAUACGUCCUACGGGAGAAAGCGGGGGACCUUCGGGCCUCGCGCCAUUAGAUGAGCCUAGGUCGGAUUAGCUAGUUGGUGAGGUAAUGGCUCACCAAGGCGACGAUCCGUAACUGGUCUGAGAGGAUGAUCAGUCACACUGGAACUGAGACACGGUCCAGACUCCUACGGGAGGCAGCAGUGGGAAUAUUGGACAAUGGGACGAAAGCCUGAUCCAGCCAUGCCGCGUGUGUGAAGAAGGUCUUCGGAUUAGUAAAGCUAAGUUUAAGUGGGAGGUAAGGGUUAGUAACCUUAAGUACGUUGACUAACGUUUGAACGUUUACCGACAGAAUAAGCCAACCGGUCUAACGUUCCGC